RNAcentral lists this transfer RNA (71 nucleotides) under Candidatus Portnoybacteria bacterium RBG_13_40_8. RNAcentral describes it as "tRNA-Pro". It matches the Rfam family "tRNA". From Rfam's summary of the family: Transfer RNA (tRNA) molecules are approximately 80 nucleotides in length. Their secondary structure includes four short double-helical elements and three loops (D, anti-codon, and T loops). RNAcentral also lists the same sequence under 1 other name. Lineage: Bacteria; Candidatus Portnoyibacteriota. The record is from RNAcentral.
CGGGGUGUGGUGUAAUGGUAGCACGAGUCCUUUGGGAGGAUUUAGUCCGGGUUCAAAUCUCGGCACCCCGA